RNA transcript from Brassica napus (rape), 1105 nucleotides. It is a transcript of the gene named ATP-dependent Clp protease proteolytic subunit 2, mitochondrial-like, with no coding region annotated. The transcript has 4 exons. NCBI's taxonomy places the organism in Eukaryota, Viridiplantae, Streptophyta, Magnoliopsida, Brassicales, Brassicaceae. The record is from RefSeq and is a predicted model, not a curated record.
GAAUGCAUAAGCUACUAGUCAGCGUCUCCUGCAUAUCUUCCCCUCUUUCUUCCAAGCACAACCCUAGAAACUCGAGUCAUGAGGGGUCUGAUCUCCGGCGCGAAGAGGCUAUGGACAACACCACCGCCGACGGCGAUAACCACCGCCAUAGCGAGAAGAAGCUACAGCGUAAUUCCAAUGGUUAUCGAGACUUCAUCGCGUGGCGAGAGAGCUUACGACAUCUUCUCGCGCCUGCUCAAGGAGCGCAUAAUCUGCAUCAACGGCCCCAUAAACGACGACACGUCACACGUCGUCGUGGCUCAGCUUCUCUACCUCGAGUCCGAGAAUCCUUCGAAGCCGAUUCAUAUGUACCUCAAUUCACCAGGCGGACACGUCACCGCCGGUCUUGCGAUUUACGAUACUAUGCAGUACAUUCGAUCUCCGAUAAGCACGAUUUGUUUAGGCCAAGCUGCGUCCAUGGCUUCUCUGCUCUUGGCAGCAGGUGCCAAGGGACAGAGACGGGCACUUCCAAACGCGAGCGUCAUGAUUCAUCAACCUUCAGGAGGAUAUAGUGGACAAGCUAAGGAUAUGACUAUCCACACGAAGCAGAUUGUUCGUGUUUGGGAUGCUUUGAACCAGCUCUAUGUGAAACACACGGGGCAAUCUAUUGAUGUGAUUGAGAAGAACAUGGAUAGGGAUCAUUUCAUGACUCCUGAGGAGGCUAAAGCGUUUGGUAUAAUCGACGAAGUGAUUGAUGAGAGACCAUUGGAGCUGGUGAAGGAUGCUGUUGGAGGUGAAAGCAAAGAUAAAAGUUAAGAGAAUCUGAUCGACCGGCCCGAAGAUUGGGAUCAUGUACCAGACCCAAAGAAAUACUUCGUUUAUUUCUUUGGAACACAGGAAAUAGCUUUUGUUGCGCCUCCUGAUAUUCAAGCCUUCACUAGCGAAGCAAAGAACAAACUGUUAAAAAGAUGUCAAGGUAAAACGGUCAAGCACUUCGCACAAGCUGUGGAGGAGAUCUCCGCUGCAUUUGAGAAGUCGCAGAAACGCAAGUCAGAUAACUUGGGCAGUGAGGCGCUUUUGAAUGCUGUUGAGCCUAGAUUGACCAAGGCUAAGGCAUUGGAUGAAA